This 779-nucleotide long non-coding RNA is filed under the name Gallus gallus (chicken). RNAcentral's name for it is "long non-coding RNA NONGGAT003613". Lineage: Eukaryota; Metazoa; Chordata; Aves; Galliformes; Phasianidae. The record is from RNAcentral.
GCAGUUGCAGAUGAAGUUGGUGCAAAGCAGCAGGGAUGAGGGCUGCAGUGGUGUGUCAGCUGUGGGUCACCACUGCGAGCUGCCUGCACAACAAAGCCUGUAAUUUAAUGCCCUUGGCAGUUAUUUGUGCAUCAGUAUCUCAUGAUGCAGGCUGACAAAAACAUUUCCAAUUCAGAACAUAAGAAAAAGUAUAAAAAUGGGAGUGAUACCACAUGUCUGUGCUGGUUCCCAGUCACUCUGAAUGGGUUAGAUGGUGCUUAUCUCAAUUUCAGAACAGUAAGCUUGGCCUGCAGGGUGGAUUUCAUGCUCUAAGUAUGCAGACAAAACUCUUCCUGGUUGGAGGAUAAUUCUGAUGAGUUCUCGAGUCACCAAUCCAAGAAUGGAGGUGUGGAAGGAGCCCAAGGGGAGCAGCUGCUUCCAUCAGUGAGGGAGCAGGAUGAGUGAAAGGACAGCAACUGCCUGAGAAGCCGUGAGAUGCUUUGGAAGUAGAGAGAGGGCUAUUAAUUACUGAAGCACCAACGGAGCGAUGCAGUCGUCGUAUUGUACGGAGGAGAUGGAGUGAUUUGGCCCAAACUGUGCCUCACCUUACAGUGCUCCCCAUUCACCAAUCUUAUUUCGGUUUACUGCUUUACAUAACUAACAGAGCUUCCAGCAGGGCUUCACUGUAGGCCCUCCUCCUCCGACAAAGCAGAUGGCUGACGGGCUCCACCAGCUUCUCCAGUUACUGACUUUAAUUGCCUGAAUGAUCUGUGUGUGCACAGAUCUGCCUGCACAGCCCU